GUAGUAUCGUUCCGUCGACUUACACCGAACUAGUUCUACAGUUGUUCACGGGUGAGGGAUUGAUCGGUUACUCAAGUUGUCAAGGGUUGUUUUAGGGUUGCAUUGCUUUGAGAAGGAGUUUUGAUGGGUCAUGGACUUGUUGAUGAUGUAUCAAGUGGCUGUGGAGGAAUUGUUAGAUUUAUGAUGUUGUGCACAGCGCCCCCUUGGUGCUUGUAGUGUAGAUUGGAUGCACUGUGGCAACAACUGGUUAGCUGUCAGAUGUGGCAUUCUCUUAGUAUUUGGAAGUUAGCCUUCGGUGAGCUUGGUUCGGAGUUCAAAGGGUAUCAUCAGACUGAUUGUAGGAUAUAUUUGGUUGUAUUUGUGCCAUCCUUCACGGGGAUUAUUUCUACAAGUCAGGAUUGUAUAGUGGAAGACUGAUUGGUCAUUUUGGUGUGGAUAUUUGCAGUCGGAAACUUAAGCUCUUUUGAGGAUUUGUGGUGGAUACCGAACUCGUGCCAGGUGGAAGGAUUUCCGAAAUUAGAUUCAUAAGAAACAGAAGGCCCUCAGUCACUCAUCAAGUCCCAGCAGGACUUCCGUGCAGAACACCGCACACGAAGAAUCGUAUAGAAAACCCCUUGGCCAGGGUAAGAAUUUUACCAUUAAAUGUGUUUUAAAUGAUUUUAGUAAUUUCUGGUUCCAUCGUUAUAUCUCAACUGAAUAUUAGUAUUGAAGAGAGGUUUCAACACUCAUUCAAUUUUCUUGAUUUUUACGGGUCAUAUGGUUAUACAGGGCACCCAAAAAUAUACUCUUGUUAUCUUGCUACUUUGCUUAAAUGAAAAUAUACCAGGGGUAUUGAUUAGUCAAAUAGUCCUAUUGAAUGGGGGUUGAAUCUCACCUUGUUUUUAUCUGAUUCUGAUUGAGAAUUUUCUUCCGUAGGGUUUUCUUUUUCCUGUCUUUUUUUCCUCUAUUUUCUUCCUGGAUCUUAUUUGGUGAUCCAUUACUGGUCCAGCUUGUCGUGCCCUACAGGGUGAUCUAUCUUGGUGGUGCUACAGGGUGAUCCAUCUCCGCCGUACUACAGGGUGAUCCAUCUCAGCAGUACUACAGGGUGAUCCACUUCCGUCGAACUACGGGGUAGCCUAACACCAUAUACCGGGUGGCCCAAAAGGAGCACGCAAGUUAUAAUUGAUUUAUUUGAAUAUUUGUGCUAUACUGAGUUAUUUGAAUAAUUGUUUGCCCUUAUGUUUAUUGAUACCUGUUGAUAUAG
This 1243-nucleotide long non-coding RNA is filed under the name Leptinotarsa decemlineata (Colorado potato beetle). RNAcentral describes it as "uncharacterized LOC111505017". Lineage: Eukaryota; Metazoa; Arthropoda; Insecta; Coleoptera; Chrysomelidae. The record is from RNAcentral.